This 77-nucleotide transfer RNA is filed under the name Pyrinomonadaceae bacterium. Its description in RNAcentral is "tRNA-His". It matches the Rfam family "tRNA". Rfam says of the family: Transfer RNA (tRNA) molecules are approximately 80 nucleotides in length. RNAcentral also lists the same sequence under 1 other name. Lineage: Bacteria; Pseudomonadati; Acidobacteriota; Blastocatellia; Blastocatellales; Pyrinomonadaceae. The record is from RNAcentral.
GCGGCUAUAGCUCAGUUGGUUAGAGCGCCUGAUUGUGGUUCAGGAAGUCGAGGGUUCGAGCCCCUCUAGCCGCCCCA